AUGUAUUUCCUGCAGCGUUGCAAUCAUUUGAACUAUGAAUAUAGCCUACACUGUUUAUUGGGUGGAAUUCUCAUGGAGGCUGCAAGUCAUCGCAAGGAUGGAGUUGUCUGGUUGCCUCUCAAUUUUGAUCAAGAGGGGCAGGUCCUUGCUACUGGUACCAUUGUUGUUCAGCCUAUGAGAUUGUGUUUGGUUGAAACUGAGAGCUUAUGUUCCUCAUGCAGUACUCUGCAUGACACACACGAACAAUUGGUAAGGACUUUGUUGGUUGGUUUUGUUCGCGAACUCAGUCCAACAAAUCUUAGUACAACUCCAGGAGGCAUACAAGUUACAGGGGACCCUCACAUGUCCAGAGAGAGUCGACAUUGCAGGACAAGGGAAUCAUCUAGGGGUGUUUCCAGGGCGAAUUUAAUGAGCUGGCUGCUUCUUAUGGAGAACACCUGGAGCUAUGUGAGGCCACUGCACCUGCUUGAAUUUGAACAUCUACAAGAGCACAAAAAGGGAAAUUCCAAUUUGAUUGAGGGGGCUGCAGUGAUUGGCUGUUUUGGUGCUCUGACUUACAAGUAUAAGAGGGCAUAUUUUUCUGGAAGGCAGUGUGGCCCUGGUAUUCUGCAGUUUAUCCUUGGAACUUGGGUAUCAGCUAUUGGGAACAUAUUACUUAUGAGCAAGCCCAAGUUAUCUGCAGUUUAUUGCGGACUAGACCUUCAUAUCCAUCUUGGUUAUUGGGGACACAUGAUAGCUAUGCUACCCUCAAUUACUGGUUAUCCACUCUUGGGUGCUCCUUAUGUGGUUCAGCACAUGCGUGAGUUAAUGCUUGCUUUCGGAAAAGGUCGGACGUGUUUACACUUCCAGGAGUCAAAUACCAGAUGGUUAUCACAUGUUACAACAGUUCUACAUCGUGUUGACAAAGAAAUUCAGCAAAGCGCAAUGCAUUCAAUUGUUGGAGCCACACCACUGGAUGCAAAAGGAAAUGAAUUGUUUACUGGAGGACCUCAGCCCAUUAUUCACUUCCACUUGCCAUGGAAGAUAAUUCUUAUGGUGCCUAUACUCACCAACUUGUCUGGCUUCCUUGAUGGCAUUCAGUGCAACACAAAGAAAUUAUUGAUUGCUUCCCUACAUUAUUCUACACCAUUCCAAUGGGUAAUUGCAGGACCAUUCUCUAAUUGCUUCAAUGUCAUCCUGGGAAACUUCUAUGUGCAUUACCUCAGAACGCUGAAACUGCAUUUAAGCGAGUGGGUGUCAUGUUUAUCAUUUUCUGCAGUGAGAUGCCCUUUUAGUUAUGGAUCAGAUUUUACUAUCGCGGGAACUAUGUCCACUAAAUUGACAGUUGAAAAGAAACAACCAUUGAACUGCUUUUGCCAAUUCUUGUGUGGGCUAAGGUUGUGGGAUCCUGGCAUUUCCCCAAUGACGGAAAAUAGCCACCUCGUAGUGCAGUUCAGGUUUGCAAUGGGAAUAGUCAAUGGGUGUUUGGGAAGCUCAGCCACAGUAUAUUGCUUAUGCUGGACAUGUCAGUCGUCUAAGGGAUGUUAUGUUGACACGUUUUGUGAUCUGGGUUAUGUAUUUCCGAAGGAGCAGAACAUGUUAUGCACUGUGUGGACUUCUUUUACGGCGAACCUGCUGUCCCGGGCAACACACGACAAGGACCAUGGGCCACUGAUACUUCUAACUACCGGAACACAUCAUCGACCAACCCGAGAUGAUGUGCUCUGGACAUGGGACCCUGGUGGUUUCACAUUGCUCGGCUUGGGAACAGGUCAACAUGUUCCUCCUGGAGGUAUAAUACAAAAUAUUCAGAAAUUUCACAUUGAGUUGGGCAGAUUGAACGCUACCAAGCACAUUUAUGGGGAGGAUUGCAAAUUCUUUCACCAGCUUGGGAUUAGCAGUACAAUCAUCUCCAUGCACAUACUACCACUACCACUACUACCAUAUGAUCAAGGUGGAUUAGCUCUUCGGCUAGACGAGUGUGGCGACAUUCCUAAUUCAAGGAUGUUCAUCAUCGACUUGAGGGCAAGCCAAAUUUCAAGGGAGGGAGAGUGUAACACCCUACCUAUGGGCUGCCACCAGGGGGUUUGUUACCUGGGCUUUGAUGGGCCGUGGACCAUCAUUGUGUGGAUUCGGUAG
RNAcentral lists this ribosomal RNA (2118 nucleotides) under Triticum aestivum (bread wheat). RNAcentral's name for it is "partial small subunit ribosomal RNA". The record is from RNAcentral. Lineage: Eukaryota; Viridiplantae; Streptophyta; Magnoliopsida; Poales; Poaceae.